Fukomys damarensis (Damara mole-rat) is the source of this 470-nucleotide non-coding RNA. The record is from the annotation of a RefSeq genome assembly. Lineage: Eukaryota; Metazoa; Chordata; Mammalia; Rodentia; Bathyergidae.
CACACACACACACACACACGUCCCUUUUUUUCUUGAGUCAUAUUCAUCUUUCACAGAGACAUUAAACUUCGUUUACAUAAGCCAAGAUUCAUGUCUGGAGACUGAAAAUGAGCUGUUCUCCAGGACCAGUGAUUGUACUACUCUUAAUGAUCGGAAGAGUCAAUGGAGACUCAGUGAACCAGACAGAAGGCCAAGUGACGGUCUUUGAACGAGCUUCCCUAACACUGAAUUGUUCUUAUGAAACCAAACAGUAUCCAAACCUAUUCUGGUAUGUCCAAUACCCUGGAGAAAGUCUGCAGCUCCUCCUGAAAGCCAUGAAAGCCAAUGAUCAGGGACGAAACAAAGGUUUUGAAGCCACAUAUGUUACAGAAACCAGCUCUUUCCACUUGAAGAAAGCCUCAGUGCAACAGUCAGACUCGGCUGUGUACUACUGUGCUCUGAGGGACACAGUGGCAGGAACUGCGGGGUAG